GUAGGCAGUAAUCCAAUAUGGCCGCCGCCACUACGACGCGAGUCAAAUAGUUCCCCGUUAAAACGGCGUUAAAACUAAAUACAGAGUAAAAAUAUUUAACGACGAAACUGCACGACUCGAUCGUCAGUAAUAAAAAGUGGAGUUAACGACGUAGGAUAUAUUUUGAAUUAUCCACAGACCCUCAGACUGUUGUUAGUACGAAUAGAGGACACCGGCGCGCUGAUUCCGGCCUGACUCUUAUCUAAUGUAAAACAAAGCGUGAAGAGGUCGCCGUCACGCGAGCCAAGGGCUGUCUCAUCAGCGUUCGCAGAAAGAAAACUAAUCCGUCAACACAGGCCCUGACAAAAAGAUGUCAUAUUCUCUUCAUCUCGAACCUCAAAUUCCUUCACGGCUCUGCUGCUCGGAUUUAUUGAAUGGACAGGCGAGAAAGGAAAAAGUGAUUCAUAGACGGAUGACGCACCACUGAAUAGAAGCUCCAUACGACUUCCCUAAGCUAGAUUAUAUAUAGGGUGUAUAAGAGAUUUAAAGAAUUUUUACAAGGCUCCUCUAUAUACUCCUACGUCUUCAAAACGUUUACGUUAGGGAGCCAGAGUGUAGAGACGCGUGCAGUCAUCAUUAUAAUUAAUGGAUAAACACACUUGGACUCUUCGACUUGUAUACGUACACUCGGGAGCGCAGUAGGCAGUGAACAGUGUAUUACCCACCGUAUGUUGCACAAGAAACAUUAAGCCGUAAGGGAAUCGAAAGCUGUUUUUAAAAUAGAGGGUGCAGGUACCGGGUGAACAAAAAAAAUUGCACGAGACUCGAAGCUUUACGGAACUACGUCAAGAGCCAAAUAAACUGCCGAUAAUUGACCAAUUAUCAUCCACGGGCUGUUACGAGGCUUAAACGUAGCCUUCGAAAAUUGAAGGGUCGGUAAAACAGAGUCACUCGGUGUAAUAGCCAUCACGAGAAGCUUUGAUUGACAGUCAAAGAUUCUACGUGUCCCGUGGGGUAGGAGCCGAAUGAACCAGCAUCCCUUUUUCGAGUAAACCUAACCUCCAAACCCAACCGAACCGUAAUUCCAUCCUUAUUAAUCCAAUAGAACCGAAUGACUCCACGCUAUGAGUGGUGCCUAAAUUUUUUUUUUCAAUAGAAAAAAUUUACACACUUUCCGUGCCAGUCUAAAGAAAAUAUACUAGUCCUUAAGGAACAAUGGAUAGGAAGCACCCCCUGUUCGGGGAUCUUGAAAUAUUGUGGAUCAAAGGAAUAAUGCCAGGGAGGAACGUGCUAACGAGGACUUCCCAUUCGACACAGCGAGACCUAAUUAUUCUCUAUUAGCACGUGUUAAUGCCCAUUGUCACGGCGAGGCCAAAGAAUGGCCAGUUAUUAUUCUUAUUGUUACCAAAAGGAGACGCCGUGCGAGCCGGCUCGUAAAACUUUGUGAAUUCAGUCCGUGUCGAUGUUUCGCUGGCAGGAUUAUUAAAACACGUAUUAGCACGGGGUAUACGACGUACUAAUCGUCGAAACAAUACGUGACCUCCGGCAGGAGGGUAAGGGAGGGGUUCACCUGUAUCCAAUUUGGAAAUGAAACCCAACACCCGACGGCUACCUGGCCGCCUGAACUGCCGCUUGUCUGCCGGGUUCGCCUUCUUUGACCUCUUCCAUCCUUUAUUCCCCCUUUAACCUAUAACACCGAGUGACUCUGGGCGUGCAAGAUCUCGUCACGAGAUAGAGCUCAUCUCCACCUCCGCGAAGGCUCAAUUCACCAGGUUCGAUUUAACAUGGACCCACUUAGGGAUAUUUUCGAAGUGCAAUUCGAGAAAUUUUUUUUUGAAAAAAUUCUACGCAAAUCGUUUUUCGAAAAACUGUCUAAUUCGAUAAAAAAUAUAUUUUGAGAAUUUAAUUAAAGGUUUUUUUUUUUUAGAAAAAAAUCAUUUUGCGUCGAUCAGAAAUAAUAUGUUGUUUCAAACGGUUUGUCGACGCACCGAGAUCUAUAGUGCGUUCACGUUAACUUCGUCCUUACACCUGGCUUAUACAUCGUGGAGAAUCUAAGGUCGAUCCUCCUUGGUCAAAUCCACGUACAGCGACUAAGAGUCUCGAACGCACGCAAGGAACACCUGGCGCGAGCGCAGUGUCUAUAGUCAUCCCGUGUGUGUGUAUCUGGAUACACAAGAUGAGAGCCGUUAGUGCGGUACAUAUCGCGGGAUCAUUUAAUUAUCGAGGAAGAAUAGGUGAAAAUAUGAGUUCGGUACGCGAGUCGCUGGCAACGCGAGGUCGUUGAGGUCGAAAGGUAAAGCCGUGAGAUAUUCCCACGAGAGCGAACCGAAACGGCACCGUUGGUUCCCGAGCACCCAUUAACGCGUAGAAAGCCGAGUCCGGCCGAGGAUGUACGUAAAAUAUCAAAGGAAAUGAAAACUGGGACCAGUUUCUGACGAUUAACAAUCAUUCGAACUAACCGCGCACCUGUGAGAGCUCAAGACGGAUCUCCAAGUGUAUACAUAUACACAGCGCGACUAUAUAUCGACGCGUCUACAACGAUAUUCGUACAAAUUAUAUAUACCGAACAAAUUGCAUUGAAUAUACACUAGAGAAAUAUAAAUGCGCACGUCCUGUCUCGCGCGAUGCUACCACACGAGUCGUUACAUAGAAACGUCAAUCAUUGUCGCGUCAUAAGCCCAAUAUUAACAGGUUCCCAUGGCAACGGCAUUAACAGUGAUCCAUCGACCGUGGAUACCGGUAGAAAAGAUUUUAAAAAAUCGGCGAGUCAUCGAUCGGUCUUACGGUGAGAUCAAUGAAAGAAAUAAUAAAUGUUAUUUUAAUAACAAAAAAA
Long non-coding RNA from Cephus cinctus (wheat stem sawfly), 2812 nucleotides. RefSeq lists it as uncharacterized. The record is from RefSeq and is a predicted model, not a curated record. Lineage: Eukaryota; Metazoa; Arthropoda; Insecta; Hymenoptera; Cephidae. The transcript is spliced from 2 exons.